CCCCCCCAUCGCCCCCCAUAGGUGCGCAUCCCUCACAGCCGCCCCUCAUUGGGUCCCUCCGGGCGCAGCCCCCUGAUGCGCAGCCUGGCCAGGCGCUGCAGAUCGAAGGGCAAACAGCGCGGCCUCCGCGCAACGGGCAGCUCGGCGAAGAACGCCCGUUCCCGGGGGGGUCCCCCCCCCCCCUCGUUGUCCCCCAGCCCCACAUCCUGCAGGACCCCCAGGAUCUCCUGCCGCGCAGCCGGGCUGCGCAACCCGCGCAAGUCCAGCAGCGCCGCCACGUGCUUCCUCCUGUGGGGGGAGAGAAAUGGGGGUUAAGGGGGAGCAGCGCUGCGCCCCAUUUUCAGACCCACAACUGCGCCCCAUUUUCAUUGCACUGCGCCCCAUUUUGAGCCCCAUUUUGAGCCCCAUUGCACUGCGCCCCAUUUCCAGACCCACAACUGCGCCCCAUUUUCAGACCCAUAGCUGCAGUUGUUUGGGGAUCGUGGCACUGAGCCCCAUUUUCAGUUCUAUUGCACUGCGCCCCAUUUCCAGACCCACAACUGCGCCCCAUUUCCAGCCCCAUUGCACUGCGCCCCAUUUUCAGUUCUAUUGCACUGCACCCCAUUUUCAGACCCACAACUGCGCCCAAUUUUCAGACCCACAACUGCGCCCCAUUUUGAGUUCUAUUGCACUGCGCCUCAUUUUCAGACCCACAACUGCGCCCCAUUUUCAGACCCAAAGUUGUGCCCCAUUUUCAUUGCGCUGCGCCCCAUUUUCAGACCCACAACUGCGCCCCAUUUUGAGUCUCAUUGCACUGCGCCCCAUUUUCAGACCCACAACUGCGCCCCAUUUUGAGUCUCAUUGCACUGCGCCCCAUUUUCAGACCCACAGCUGCGCCCCAUUUUCAUUGCACUGCGCCCCAUUUUCAGACCCACAACUGCGCCCCAUUUUCAGACCCAUAGCUGCAGUUGUUUUGGGAUCGUGGCACUGCACCCCAUUUUCAGAACCAGAAUUGCGCCCCAUUUUGAGUCUCAUUGCACUGCGCCCCAUUUUCAGACCCAGAAUUGCACCCCAUUUUCAGCCCCAUUGCACUGCACCCCAUUUUCAGCCCCACAACUGCGCCCCAUUUUCAGCCCCAUUUUGAGCCCUAUUGCACUGCGCCCCAUUUUCAGCCCCAUAACAGCGCCCCAUUCUCACUGCGCUGCGCCCCAUUUUCAGCCCCAUUUUGAGCCCCAUUGUACUGCGUCCCAUUUUCAGCCCCAUAACUGCGUCCUAUUUUCAGACCUAUUUUGAGCCCCAUUGCACUACACCCCAUUUUCAGACCCAUAACUGCGCCCUAUUUUCACACCCAUAACUGCGCCCCAUUCUCACUGCGCUGCGCCCUAUUUUCAGCCCUAUUCCACCCGCGCAUCCCGUCUCGUUUCUCCGCCAUCCCGGCGCCAGCUCCGUCAUUGUCCCCAUCCCCCCCCCGCCCCAUAAGUGUGACCCGGUGACACCGGUGGGUCCCGGGGGGGUGCGGACCGGCAGUGGGUGGGGGGGGGUUGGGG
RNAcentral lists this long non-coding RNA (1526 nucleotides) under Coturnix japonica (Japanese quail). Its description in RNAcentral is "lncRNA (ENSCJPG00005005024.1)". The record is from RNAcentral. Lineage: Eukaryota; Metazoa; Chordata; Aves; Galliformes; Phasianidae.